UGAACGCUGGCGGCGUGCCUAAUACAUGCAAGUCGAGCGAACGGACGAGAAGCUUGCUUCUCUGAUGUUAGCGGCGGACGGGUGAGUAACACGUGGAUAACCUACCUAUAAGACUGGGAUAACUUCGGGAAACCGGAGCUAAUACCGGAUAAUAUUUUGAACCGCAUGGUUCAAAAGUGAAAGACGGUCUUGCUGUCACUUAUAGAUGGAUCCGCGCUGCAUUAGCUAGUUGGUAAGGUAACGGCUUACCAAGGCAACGAUGCAUAGCCGACCUGAGAGGGUGAUCGGCCACACUGGAACUGAGACACGGUCCAGACUCCUACGGUAGGCAGCAGUAGGGAAUCUUCCGCAAUGGGCGAAAGCCUGACGGAGCAACGCCGCGUGAGUGAUGAAGGUCUUCGGAUCGUAAAACUCUGUUAUUAGGGAAGAACAUAUGUGUAAGUAACUGUGCACAUCUUGACGGUACCUAAUCAGAAAGCCACGGCUAACUACGUG
This 495-nucleotide ribosomal RNA is filed under the name uncultured bacterium. RNAcentral's name for it is "partial 16S ribosomal RNA". It matches the Rfam family "Bacterial small subunit ribosomal RNA", at positions 30 to 507 of the family's 1533-position model. The record is from RNAcentral.